AACAAAACAGAAAGAAAACUACUCGUUGCUGAUAAUUUACGAAUUGGAAUGGAAAUUGCAUUUGGACGAAUGAAAAUUGCAGAUACUAGCUACAUCUAUAAGCAUCAUGGGAUUGUCAUAAAGAUUGAUAAAACCUGCAAUAGAUUUGAAAUUGUUGAAUUAAGGGCUACUGAGUCAGCUUUCAAUACAUGUUUAGCAGUAUUAUGCACAAAUAGUCAGCCUAGCGUUCAAAGAACAACACUCAAAUUUCAUGAUAGCCUUUUCUACUGUGAUUACCAAGAUUUUUCUUUUCCGAGUAAACUUGUUAAGAAGAGGGCUAAAAAGAUGGUCUUAAUUUUUAACAAAUCUGAUGUAGAGUAUAACUUGACGAAAUUUAAUUGUGAACAUUUUGCAUGUUACUGUGCAACUGGACUGGCAGUCAGUAAACAGACUUCAAAUGAGAAUCUUGAGGCAACAGAAUCACUUAAUAAAGCACUGGGAAUGUAUAUUGAUAUACAAAUAGAAAAGUAUUCUAACAAAACACAGAAACCCAGUCCCAGCGGUAAAGUACUAGAAACCAUGAGACCAAGAGAAAGAUCUUGUGUAGUACUGUAACACAUUUGCCAAAGUUGUGUUUAUGAAAAGAAUAACCGAUACUAUGAUUUUGAGUAUUUUUUUUUAUCAUUUACGGACAUAUUAAAGACUAAAGACUAGAUUGUUCAAGACAUUUCAGCUACGAAUAAGACAAACCAUAAAAUUUGAUUGUUUUGGUUGAAACAUUGUUAAAGAGGAAUAUAAAACUAAUGUUGUGCUACAUGUGAUAUGAGCAGUCAUUUUGAUUGAAUUUCGUUACAAUAGCAAAAACCAUCGAUGAUGUUUUAUUGACUUGCAAGUCAUUAGUAUGACCUAAUUUCAAUCCGUAUGCAUGUAACUUCAAUUUGAUCAUGAGAGGAUAUGAGAAACGCAAGUUUUAUUUAUUAAAAAGAACAGGAUGUCAACAUUGUUAAAUUAACCAACAGAGACACCAGUAAUAAACAAUUUCUUUAAUUAUCUCACCCACAAAAUUGUCAUUCUUAUAUAGGUAAAACGAUGAUAUUUAUAACUUUUCAAUCUAUAUAAUGAAACCAAACAGACCUAGAAAAAUAGUCAUCAUAAAACCUCGUGUGCUUAAUUUUUUAUUAAUAUUUUGAAAUAUUUUAAUAUCGAUUUAUAUUGCCGUAUUAAAACAAUCAAAACACUAUCAUUUGUUCUCUCUCCUCCACAGAAAUCACAAUCAAAGCACUACCUGAUGUAUUCAAAUAAAUUGUUGUACACAAUUAUUUGUGGGAGGGAAGAUCUCCGAUCAAUUAUACUGUUUAUUUUUGUAGCUUUUAAUUUGUUAAUGUAACAAUGCCUUUUUAAUGUAAUGGUUUGGGAAAAUUAAAGACGAACUGUGUAAACGAAAUUUUUGAAGCCAAUUACGUAUUAUAAUGUCAGGUAUCUGUUCACCAUUAAUGACCUGUAUAAGGCAUUUCGUUAUUCCGCUUUUUUCCAUGUCAGAUAUUUGGUGUUUCGUUUAUAUUCAUUUAUUUACUUAGAUAUAGACUGUGUGUACUUUGUGUUUACCAUGUCAAUAUAUUCAUCGCUACGAUGAAUUCUAGGUUUUCGAAUUUAAUUUCCAUGUUGAUAGGUAGCUAUGCAGAUUACAGUAACUAUAUGUCAAUAAGCACAACCUUAAACUACGUAUUUAAGGAGUGGUUUCUUCAUUUCAAUUUUGAAAGAAAAAGAAGACUAUGGACACAACUAAUUUUUGACUGUGUUCUGGUCAUUCAAUUAAAAAACACUUCUCAAAAGGAAUAAAUGUAAAAUUGAGAAUAGAAAUGGGGAGUGUGUCAAAGAGACAACAACCCGACCAAAGAUCAGAAAAUAGCCUAAGGCCACAAAUGGGUCUUCAACACAGCGAUAAAAUCCCACAGCCGGAGGCGUGUUUCAGCUGGCCCCUAAGCAAAAAUGUGUACUAGUUCAGUGAAAAUGGACAUCAUACUAAACUCCGAAAUAUAUAAAUGAACUAAAUCAUAUAAAACUUACAAUGGCCAGAGGCUCCUGAUUUUGGGACAGGCGCAAAAAUGUGGCGGGGUUAAACAUGU
Molecule: long non-coding RNA, 2105 nt
Organism: Mytilus californianus (California mussel)
Lineage: Eukaryota; Metazoa; Mollusca; Bivalvia; Mytilida; Mytilidae
Exons: 3
Source: RefSeq, a predicted model, not a curated record